Non-coding RNA from Nodularia spumigena CCY9414, 440 nucleotides. The record is from Rfam. Lineage: Bacteria; Bacillati; Cyanobacteriota; Cyanophyceae; Nostocales; Nodulariaceae.
GGGAGUAGGCGCAGGCGGUUGCAGAUCAGUCAGAGUGACUGGUUUGAGGAAAGUCCGGACUCCCGAAAGACCAAACUUGCUGGGUAACGCCCAGUGCGAGCGAUCGUGAGGAUAGUGCCACAGAAAGAUACCGCCAUCUUCAGUGAACAGUGAACAGUGAACAGUGAACAGUCAAAACCUGAUAACUGAUAACUGAUAACUGAAAAUGGUAAGGGUGCAAAGGUGCGGUAAGAGCGCACCAGCAGCGUCGAGAGGCGCUGGCUCGGUAAACCCCGGUAGGGAGCAAGGCCAGAGGAAACUACGGUUGGUCUUUUACCAGUUUCCGUGCAUUAGAGCCGCUAGAGGCGUUUGGUAACAAGCGUCCCAGAUAGAUAACUGCCCUCAAAGGUGUUUUUAAACAUUGGCGAGAACAGAACCCGGCUUAUGUCCGACUCUCUCCC